Molecule: ribosomal RNA, 466 nt
Filed under: uncultured bacterium
Lineage: Bacteria
Description: partial 16S ribosomal RNA
Rfam family: Bacterial small subunit ribosomal RNA
Source: RNAcentral
GAUGAACGCUGGCGGCGUGCUUAACACAUGCAAGUCGAACGAUGAAGCCCAGCUUGCUGGGUGGAGUAGUGGCGAACGGGGGAGUAACACGUGAGUAACCCGUCCUUGACUCUGGGAUAAGCCUGGGAAAAUGUGGCUAAUACUGGAUAUGACUUCUCAUCGCAUGGUGGGGGUUGGAAAGAUUUAUUUGCCUUGGAUGGACUCGCGGCCUAUCAGCUUGUUGGUGAGGUAAUGGCUCACCAAGGCGACGACGGGUAGCCGGCCUGAGAGGGUGACCGGCCACACUGGGACUGAGACACGGCCCAGACUCCUACGGGAGGCAACAGUGGGGAAUAUUGCACAAUGGGCGCAAGCCUGAUGCAGCGACGCCGCGUGUGGGAUGACGGCCUUCGGGUUGUAAGCCUCUUUCAGUAGGGAAGAAGCGUGAGUGACGGUACCUGCAGAAGAAGCGCCGGCUAACUACGUG